UACGGAGGAUCCAAGCGUUAUCCGGAUUUAUUGGGUUUAAAGGGUGCGUAGGUGGUUUCUUAAGUCAGAGGUGAAAGGCUACGGCUCAACCGUAGUAAGCCUUUGAAACUGGGGAACUUGAGUGCAGGAGAGGAGAGUGGAAUUCCUAGUGUAGCGGUGAAAUGCGUAGAUAUUAGGAGGAACACCAGUUGCGAAGGCGGCUCUCUGGACUGUAACUGACACUGAGGCACGAAAGCGUGGGGAGCAAACAGGAUUAGAUACCCCCGUAGUCCCUGAGCGGG
RNAcentral lists this ribosomal RNA (281 nucleotides) under uncultured prokaryote. RNAcentral describes it as "partial 16S ribosomal RNA". It matches the Rfam family "Bacterial small subunit ribosomal RNA", at positions 524 to 803 of the family's 1533-position model. The record is from RNAcentral.